CACAACCCCCACACACACUGCAGGGCUGCAUUUGCUGCUCCCCAGGGCAGCCUGGAGCCAGCAGCUUCAAAGGAGCACAUCAAAGCUCCGUGCACAGCACAGAGCAGCCCGGGAAGCAGGGUGGCAUCUCUCCUCUCCCUGGCGAAUGUGGAACCUCAGGGGGCUUCCCAAAGGACACGUAUGUCCCUAUGUCUUGCCUUGAACUUUUCCUGUCUUAUGAGACAGACUGCAGCUGCGCACCCAAAGGCUGUGACAAGUGAAGCAAGCACACAACCCUGUGAAAAGCCACACCGUCAGGGAGGAGGAAGACAGAGAAGAGGAGUCAGCCUGGCAUGGUGAAAUGAUUUGUUCAGGAACAAGAUCUACAGUCAGACUUAGAGAAUGACCCAGAAUGACUCUCAGUUCCAAAGGAGGAGUUUGGCACUUCCAAGAAUGACUCCUAAACACAGCAAGUGUGUGAUCCCUCUGUACCUGUAAUUAUUGAAUAGUUCUUUACACAGAUCCCAUGGGUCAGGCUAAGAAUCAAAGUGUCUUAGUUUUGUUAUUGAGAACAUCUUUCCAACAUCACUGUCUAAAAAAAAUACCAAAGCAAACAUUACAAGAAGUCAAAUCAUUUGCCUUCCUGCAAACAGAUUAGCCAAGCACUGAUAAUACUGUCAACUCUGGGUGUCUGUGUUAAAAAGAAAACAAAAACAAUAAACAAGAACCCAAACAAAACCA
RNAcentral lists this long non-coding RNA (720 nucleotides) under Junco hyemalis (dark-eyed junco). Its description in RNAcentral is "lncRNA (ENSJHYG00000015098.1)". The record is from RNAcentral. Lineage: Eukaryota; Metazoa; Chordata; Aves; Passeriformes; Passerellidae.